UACGAAGGGGGCUAGCGUUGCUCGGAAUCACUGGGCGUAAAGGGCGCGUAGGCGGGUUUUUAAGUCAGGGGUGAAAUCCUGGAGCUCAACUCCAGAACUGCCUUUGAUACUGAAGAUCUUGAGUCCGGGAGAGGUGAGUGGAACUGCGAGUGUAGAGGUGAAAUUCGUAGAUAUUCGCAAGAACACCAGUGGCGAAGGCGGCUCACUGGCCCGAUACUGACGCUGAGGCACGAAAGCGUGGGGAGCAAACAGG
RNAcentral lists this ribosomal RNA (253 nucleotides) under uncultured bacterium. RNAcentral describes it as "partial 16S ribosomal RNA". It matches the Rfam family "Bacterial small subunit ribosomal RNA", at positions 524 to 776 of the family's 1533-position model. The record is from RNAcentral.